UGCGUCCCCUUUGGCUUGAUAAUGCUUCUUCGAUUAUUUUUGCAAAUUUAAUACCAAGCACUAAAAACAAAUUAGAAACAGUCAUACAGAUGCCUCUUUAGCUUCUAUUCUAAAUCUAAAGAAUAUUAUUUUAAGAACUUUGAGUUGGUCUUCCUUUGUUUAGUUUUGCGAUGAACAUGUAGCGGAAUCAAAAAAUUUUAUGAGAGCGGUUGUAGCUUGAUGGGUAGAUUUCGCUGUCGAGGAGUUAGUGAUGCAUAAAAGAAGAUAUUCAGACGACAGAAAUCCCAAUUUCAUGGUCAGAGAAAAUGGAGACACUCAAAUUCACGGUAGUACGCUCAAACCCUAAUUGAUAUAUUUAGUUAAACCGUCUUUGUAUGCAUAGUUAGGAGUAACGUAGUUUUAAUAUUCAUAUGUUUGUUAAAUUGUUCCAUUUUACUAGCAUCUAAGCUCUAUAGAAUGUUUUUGAUUUUCUUUAACUGAGGUUGUUCAUAUUUUUUAGUUUCUCUCGGGUUGAAGUCAGAGACUGUUUCUUAACAAUUCGACAGGAAGAGUCGGGAGGAAAAUGCGCGCACACGAUGAAGGAGGCAGAGGAAAGCUAUUAGAGAGAUGGAGAAGAAGGAAACGAUUCAUUGUUGGAUCCGGAUAUGCUUGCCGCAGAUGAUGGCGUCAUUAAGAGCUUGAUGGGAUAAAGAGGAGAUUGAAAGAGAUGGAGGAAGAAGCUGAUGCGCUGCGCGAUAUGCAAGCCAAAGCCCAAAAAUAAAUGGAAGCUAUUCAAGGUAGGAUUGAAAAGCUUAUCAUGAUGGUGUUGAAUUCUUGUCGCUUCGCUCUGUUUCAGGUCGGACCUUCUUGAUCUUCUCCAUCAAGCUCCAGGCAACUAAUUGCAGAUUUCUGUGCAUAGUCUCUGUCUUUUUGCUUCCUUUGAUGAUUUUUGACUUAUCACACAAAGGUAGGU
This is a long non-coding RNA of Arabidopsis lyrata subsp. lyrata, 952 nucleotides long. RefSeq lists it as uncharacterized. The transcript has 4 exons. Lineage: Eukaryota; Viridiplantae; Streptophyta; Magnoliopsida; Brassicales; Brassicaceae. The record is from RefSeq and is a predicted model, not a curated record.